GACGAACGCUGGCGGCGUGCUUAACACAUGCAAGUCGAACGGAAAGGCCCUUCGGGUUACGCGUGUUCCGAUCGGGUGAGUAACGCGAGCGUGACCUUCACCUCACCUUGGGUUUACAGUUGCUUCAGGCUGCUAAUACCAGUUCUUCAUCUCCGCUCCCAUGGCGGGGGUUGGAUAGGAUUGGUGGUGGGGGAUGGGCUCGCGUCCUAUCAGCUUGUUGGUGGGGUGGUGGCCUACCAAGGCGUCGACGGGUAGCCGGCCUGAGAGGGGGACCGGCCACAUUGGGACUGAGAUACGGCCCAAACUCCUACGGGAGGCAGCAGUGGGGAAUAUUGCACAAUGGGCGGAAGCCUGAUGCAGCAACGCCGCGUGCGGGAUGACGGCCUUCGGGUUGUAAACCGCUUUCGGCAGGGACGAAGCGCGAGUGACGGUACCUGCAGAAGAAGCACCGGCUAACUACGUG
This 463-nucleotide ribosomal RNA is filed under the name uncultured bacterium. RNAcentral describes it as "partial 16S ribosomal RNA". It matches the Rfam family "Bacterial small subunit ribosomal RNA", at positions 28 to 507 of the family's 1533-position model. The record is from RNAcentral.